UUGGUUUUAGGUUGGAAGCUCA
RNAcentral lists this non-coding RNA (22 nucleotides) under Arabidopsis thaliana (thale cress). Lineage: Eukaryota; Viridiplantae; Streptophyta; Magnoliopsida; Brassicales; Brassicaceae. The record is from RNAcentral.